RNAcentral lists this ribosomal RNA (195 nucleotides) under uncultured bacterium. RNAcentral describes it as "partial 16S ribosomal RNA". It matches the Rfam family "Bacterial small subunit ribosomal RNA", at positions 338 to 524 of the family's 1533-position model. RNAcentral also lists the same sequence under 1 other name. The record is from RNAcentral.
CCUACGGGAGGCAGCAGUAGGGAAUCUUCGGCAAUGGACGAAAGUCUGACCGAGCAACGCCGCGUGAGUGAAGAAGGUUUUCGGAUCGUAAAACUCUGUUGUUAGAGAAGAACGUUGUGUAGAGUGGAAAAUUACACAAGUGACGGUAUCUAACCAGAAAGGGACGGCUAACUACGUGCCAGCAGCCGCGGUAAU